AACUACAAAGCUAUGUGAUGCUUAAGGUAGGCAUGCCCAUGGUGUAGGCCUCUGAGCUGAAGUACCUUGUUUGUUUCUUGACAAAUUCCCACAUGACUUUUUGCAGUUGUCUCCAGGCAGGAUGCAAAAUCAGGAGAUUUAUCGACCCCCUAGUAGAUCACCAUCCAUGGCUAGUAGGUUGUAUGUAGCUUAGUAUUUAUUCCUGGUACAAGCAACUAUUGCAAAAGAUCUCUAAAUUUUUAAUUCUGUGGUCCAAAACCUGCUCUAGCCAUGCACACAUUCUAGUAGUCUAGAUGAAGUUUUCUAUUCCCAUCCACAGCAAAAGACUAAUGCAAUCAAUGAUUUGGAGCCCAAAUGAGUACUAAAAUACAGAUCAUGAUGUCCAUCUAUGUGUCUGUAUAUGCAUUCCUGUUACCUGUACAUCUAGAGGAUCUUGCUUUCAUGUAUGAAUCUACCUUGGGAUCUCUGGGGGUGUCUGAGCACAGAUGUAAGGGCUUUUUCCUUUCUGAUGCUGUUUCUGAUGCUGACACACAUCAUUUGGUGAACCCUGGAAUAGCUUCAAUUUGGUCCUUGUAAAAAUAAAGGACAACUUAAUUGCAUCAGUCUUUUGCAAUUGCAUAGGUACAAUUUGUUGUUCAACGUGUGUUUCGCUGUACCAGUUGUGAUGAGGGUUGACUGUUUUCUGCAGAUUUGUUUUCAUCCACCAAAACAGAAAACAACCCAUGAACAGCCAUUAGACUACAGGUUAUCCUUAAGCCAUUGGCUAAGGAGGAAAUAAAAUAUGGCUGAAAUGUUCCCUGUCCAAAUUCACAUUCCUAAAAUUGGACUAUCAACUAAUUGUCGAUUUAUAAUUCAUGCUAACACAUAAACCAAAAUUUAAAUCUAUAUACACAUAUUUUUAAAAAUGGAAUACAUGUUAACAGAAAAAUAAAAAGUAGCUCUUAUUUUUACUUUAAAAAAGGUAGAUAUAGUACAUGUGGAGUGCAUGUAUAUCCACCAUGACAGCAACUCUCGAUAAACAUUCAAGAUGAGCCAUAAAACUACAAGAUUAGGAUGCUUUUAAAUGUGGAAACUGAGAUCAAAAAGAAAAUCCCAAUGUUAAGUACACAAAAGCACUCAUAUCUGCUCAGAAUGCAUUACUCAGUCAUAGUAAGCUACCCACUUUAGAUUUCAUGAUUACCUGGAAAAUGCUUUGCAGCUUUCACUCUGCAGAUACAGCUCCUAAAAUAUUCUGUCAUUCAUGUAUUGUGGGAAACAAGUUAGGAAAUGCUUAAGAGCCUUUCAACAGUGUUGAAAAUCAGUUGGGAGGCUUAAUGUUCAGGACCAUGUCUCAACAUCAAAAGAAGCAGUGGUGACAAAUAAAAAGCACGAUUUGGGAGAUGGUGAUGAUUCACAUAUCAUUAAUGUGCUGAUAAUUAAUACCUGAUUUAUACAAGAAUUCAAGGAAAUAAGAAUAAAAUAACCUUGAUUGAUAUCUGUUAGCUCGGUAACUGUUAAACAUGGCAAAUAUUAGCAAAAGCUUCCCAUAAUCUCAGAUGUGUUCAAAUGCUAAUUACAUAACAAGAAAAAUGCAGUUUGUGCUUAUACUGUAUACUUCCAAAAGAGAAGAAAAUGGGGUUCAAAUGACCCUCUCCCCCACUGCAAGAGUGCAUGAAGGGGAGUUGUGGGGGCACAUGGACUAGUCCUGAACCUGCUGGAGAUUUGGGGGGCAGUCUACCCUAGAGGUUCCCAGAGCGUAGACAACAGAACCUAGUCUAUCCCUGUACGCAUAGGGUCAUAGCUGGGCAACUGGUUGAAGCUGACGGAGACAGUUACCACAGUAAUCACAAGUCGUGCACCUGUUCCUUUAGAGGGAGUACAGUCCUAAGCACGGGAGAAAUUUUUUGUACUGGACAAUAUUUGGGAUGCCAGAAACAGAGGCUACAAUCAGGUGUGGGGUUCUUUCUGUUACUUUUAUUGAUUAUAAUGCUAGCAUUUCUGUCCCGAUUUUCUAACAUUCCUUUCACAUUGCAGUACCUGUUGUUUUAUGGAACAGUGGCUUCUUGACCUAUAUACCUCCCUGUAUCUCUAAAUUUUAUUCACACCAGUGGGUGUGGUAUGACACGACAAUGAACAUUACUGGACAUAUCCCACCCUUUCUGCACAUGCACACUUCCUAUUCCCCCAUGAAAAUGUGGGGAAAGAGUCAUAAGCCAUAUCCCACCCCCCCAAAUUUCAUCACUUUUUACUCCCACAUUAUUCUGGGUUAAUGAUGUUGCAAAUGGAUUUUUUUUCUGGAAGCAAUUAACAUAGUGCUAAAUUUCCUCCAUAUUCUGCUAGAUUUCCGGAAGUAGUUUUUGUGUCAUGUGAAAGAUAAAAGAAAAGGUGGAAUUUAUCAGGUAAGGAAACAUCAAGAAAAUGGAAUAAUCUACAAUCUGAAUAGAGCCAGACAAACCAAGGACAAACCAAACCAAGGACAAAAUGGAAGGCAAGCAGUCAACUGACUUGCACUGCCAGUAACAGGUCCUGUUGGUACAUUAAGCAGUACAUUAAUUGACAUAUGAUAUGAUGCAAUUUUCUCAAUAAAUGGGCCACCUUUUACAACAAACCUUCCAAUAAUCGGAGAUUAAAGGAUUAAAGGGAUUAGAGAGAGAAGUCUAUUCUUUAGCAUAAUUGGGAUCUGUCUGGGCAGUCAUGGUUAUGUGAUGAGGUUGGUUGUUUAGCAGGGUAAGCAAAGAGAAUUCACUAGCGAUGAGGACCUUGUAAAGCUGUAGGUUAGAGGAUAAAGGAGAAUUUCAAUAGUGGAAAGUUAAUGAAGGCCUUUCAGAGUUGUUGUUGUUGUUAAAUGAGACUGUCAUGCAUUCUCCAUGAAAGAAGAACAUAUUUAUGUUUGAAAGCUUGCCUUUCAUAAUAUAUGUAUUUGGAUCUAGACCAAAAUGCAAGACACAUAUGUUCCAUCAAUUAUGCAUCACUUUGCAUAUUACCUAGAUCCAAACAUGCUUGCCACCAAAUGUAUGGAAGCUGUGACCAAUCCAGGUUACCUUUUCUAAUUUGCGUGAGUGCAUAAAGAGAGUGGUGACCAAAUCGGUUCUGAACAGGUAAAAUGCAUUUGGAAAGACUGGUUUUAAAUGUACCAACAGUAGGUCAGUGAAUGCAUUUUACUUUAUGAAAGAAAAAAUAGUACAUAAAUAAAUAUUGGGGAAUGAAAAAUCUAAGAAAGCAUAAAGUGCCUAAUACAUUCAAGGAUUACAAUAUUCAGUGAUAACUGCAGCAACCAUUGCAGAAUCCAACAUUGGCCUACCUACAUUCUACCAGCCCUCUAGUUAAAGCUAACUACAUAAUACUCUCAGCUAGGCUAACGGCAUGGCAUUUCAGUUUAACAGAAGGCCAUAGCUACCAAUACAGAGUGAAUUUCCAAGAAACAAGCUCCUGUAGACUUAUUACUAGAGAUCGGUCUGGUGGCCAGGAUAUAGGAAACAGGAAUAUCCAAACCUAAAAUGAUCUUAGGUAAAAAAAUUAAGAAAAGUGUUCCCAAAGAGGGAAAAGGGGGAAAUAAACACACAAGCCUCAUCUCUUUAUGUUUGUUCAUGAGCCAAAAUUCAGCCCCAAGGAGCUAGGCUCAGAGGAAGAUGGCCCCAAACAGCUUCAAACCUGAAGAAGGGCUCUCAACAAGAAGACAACAGACCCCAGAACAAACAGAAUCUGAAAAAGCCUUAGAGCUAAACAAUAAAAAAUUGAAGAAGUGAGCUCCAUGGUGCAGUCUCUUUGUAUCCCUAUAUACCUCCAAAAUUUCCUAUCUUUUGAGUCACUCCUUUGUCUCAUGGCUCCCUCCACUCUUUCAUGCUAAAAUGCAGCUCUGGGUUUGUAAACAUGAAGUAGGAGUGGACACCUGCAGAAAUAGGUGUUUAUUUGCGGGGAACAACUUAUUCCAAAGCCUUAUCAGUGUACUAUGGGUCUCAAGAAAGUCACUCACUUACCUUGUAUCUUCUUUGCAGGUGAAUGAUAUCAGCUUGACUAAAGUGUUGCCAAGCCUUCUGUUUCUCAAGUUCCACCAGGGCCCAGGAAAACUGGGACAUUUAUGCCCUAAAAGCAAACAUUCAGCUCAGCUUAAACCAUGGGCCAGAGUUUUCAUAACUAAAGUUUGCUUACAUUCCCUUCCACAGCACCUGGAGUGAUGACCUUCACUAUGCAUUCAUGUUUAACACUCACCACAAACAAUGAGCUAACUGUACAUGCACUUUGUUUUAUACAUGUGGUGGUAAACUUUCAUUUGUUGCAGGCACAUGGUAUGCUUUUAUACGUAAAAGGUUUUUUAUGUACACAUUAAAAAUAUAAUGAACAAAGCAGCCCAGUGAAGGGUAGGUAAAUAUUUCAGAUGAUAUUAUCUCCCUCAAGCUUGGAUUUUCAACAACCUUUUGACAAAGACUCCUGAGCAAAUGGGAGAAGAGAAGAGGUUCACCUAUGGAUUGGUAAAUGCUAAAGUACUGAAAGCAGAGAGAAGAAAUAAAUUGAGAUUUCUCAAAAGGAGGGGUGAAAUCAGUGAGGCUCACCAAAGAUCUGUAUUGGGACCAGUGCUUGUUCGAAACUCAUUUGGAGUUAGGGGUGAACAGUGAGCUGGCCAAGUUUGCUAAUGAGACCAAAUGAUUCAGGAUGGUAGAAACAAAAAGAAUCUUACUCAAACACUGGGACCAGAUCAGCCACUCCAGCUGAGGGCAGCAGGUUAGCUCAGGUGAGACAGUGCAGGUUAUGUGGCACACACAUCUCUGACCUCUACCACCCCACUUCUCCUAAAUCCCCAGCAUCUGGCCUAAUGGUAAGGCUGGACCUAUGUCUGACUCAUAAUCUAGCCUGGUCUCCUGGCACUUGGGAUACAAGUAGAGAAAGUGGAUUGCAGUGUUCCCUGACUAAGGGAACAAUCCCUUGUCAUGAGGAGGCAACAUGGCCUCUCUUCUCCAGCAAGAUAACAUUCCCCUUCCCUUAUCUGAAUCCUCUGCAGUGAACAGAGGCCUCCUUGGCAAUAAAAACUCUUGCUCUGCACUAUAACUGAGGUAACGUGAGUCCAGAACUGUCUCCAGCCUUCUGAAGCACCCUCAACCCAGCCCACUAUGGGAUUAACCUUCUCAGGAGCCCAGAAUGGAAGUCUUUGUUCCUCCUAAGAGUGAAUGCAAAUGCAUUGCACAACAACAUGAGAAGACAACUCCAACGUUCUUGUCAUUAGUGACUGAAGCCAUUGUUCCACUCUUGCCUGGCCUGACCUCUUCCAGUCUGGAGCCAGCCUUGCAUCACCAUUUAGACUUUGCACUCCGGCUGCAACGGAGAGCUCUCUCGCAGCGCAGCAAGCCAUAUGGGAAGCUGCACAGCUUCAGGGAACAUACACAAAAGCAAAGGAAAAUAAUAUUCUCUUGUCUGGAGCAAUCUGCUGCUUUUGAAGUGCAGCGAGCUUCUUGGCUCUUUCAUAGGAAGGUGCACUUAAGUGCUUCCCCUCACCGGGCUAUACUUAAAGGCUUAAUUUAUCUUGGUAUUUGAUCCUCUGGUUCCAACCUUCUCUGCACUCCUUCUGUAGUGCUCCUUCUUAUGCUCUACCUGCUGUACUCUGCCUCUCUGUGGGUCAUCCAGGGCUAUGGCUCAUUUCCCCCUUACUUGAUGUUGCUCAGAGACAUAGUUAAUCCUUUGACAUCUUCCUCACAUUGCUAAUGGACUCUGCUCUUUUUUCUUUUGCUCUUCUCUCCAUGCUGAGCAGAGGCCUUGCUGGGGUUCAUCAACACCGUCCUUCCUCCCCCAGUUGAUGCCUCCCAGAUAGGACAUUCAAAUAAGAUAUACUUUUUAACUUCAGUUCAGCUCUGAAACAUGUCUCUUUUGGGGUUUAUGCACUAUAGGAUUUAUAUACUUUUUCUCAUUGAGAUUUUGGGGGUCUGAUACUAUGCAUUUCCUCUCUAUUGCUGCUUGUUUAAUUUGCAGUUUAUUUAUUUAUUUAUUAUUGUAUUUUUUAAUGAUGUCAGCUGUCUUGGGGGUCUCACUGUGUGAGGCAAAAAGGAUAUAAAUAUUUCAAUAAAUAAAAGUUCAUUUUGAGAGUCAUUUUCUAAAGUGCAUUUCUCUUUGGGUGUAUUUUUUUCAUUUACUUUAUUUGAAAACCUUGGGAAAACAGGAUGAUAAAAUAAGUUUCUUCCCCCUCAUCUCCUUCCUUCCCUUCCCUUAUCUACUUAAUUUAGUUUUCUGGAAGAACUGAGCAUGUCUGCAUGUAUACUCCAGAACUAUCCCACAAACAGAUCCCUAUUUUAUCCACACACUUUCUAAUCCCGAAAGAGCUGGUGAUACAACACGUCCUAUUACACUCAGAGAUGUGGCAUUCUUUCUCAUGCAGGCCAUGAUAAAGAAGUUCAACAUCUGCAGAGUAAAACUAGAGGGAUCCAGCCAACUCUAGGCAAGAGUUGUUGCUAAUUAUAAAUUUAUUUAGGAUACUCACUGCUUCACAUAGUUCUUUAUGCAAUUAUAC
Molecule: non-coding RNA, 6472 nt
Organism: Podarcis lilfordi (Lilford's wall lizard)
Lineage: Eukaryota; Metazoa; Chordata; Lepidosauria; Squamata; Lacertidae
Source: the annotation of a GenBank genome assembly